AGUUUUCUCAUUUUUAUUCUUCCUGUUCCCUCCCUUAGUGGAGGGGAAUGAGUGGCUGGAUGAGUGCUAAAAUACUGGUGAGGAUUGGCCUGCCACAAGUGUGAAGACUCCCUAGUGUCACAAAGUGGGUAAAAAUGUGAUAAUGAGGGCUGUACGCGGCCCAUGCAUACAUUAUCUUUAGAGAGAAGGGCGGGAAGUAUUUGAAUAACUAUGAAUGAUUUAUAACAAAUAUGAAGAAAUACUGCUGUAAGACCUAGCUGUCUUUCUGUGAAGAAACAGAAGAAUUUCAAUAUACUACAAGCCAUUGUGACAAACAAUGCAGUUGUGUGCAUCUAUGUUGAAUAUGGGUGAAAACGCGUACAGCUAUGUGUUUUACUUAUUUUGCUGUUUGACAUUGUAAGUGAGAAGAUUUCCUCUAGAGUUACUAUUACAUCCUUGUUUCCCAGGUGCAUCAUUCCUUAAGAGUUACCAUGAGGGAAAAUAAUUGUGAAUCUUCCAGAAGCUUGUUACUCACUAAAUGUGCACAUCUUAAGAUCACUGUCUUGAAUCGCUGAAACUGAGAGAAAUAAAGGAUAGGUUCUCAGAAGCCUUUAAAUUUGCAGUAUCAUCUUUUUUCUUGCCUCCCACAUGGAUACGGAUCAUACAAUCUGUGACCAGGAAGUGUGGUGCUCCUCGUGUCCUUUUGCAGUGACCUGUGCUGGGGAAGUUCUACCUUUCAGACAUCAAGGAAUGCUUUAUACUGCAGAAUUAUCUUGUUACCUCUUUCAUAUUGAAGCUGUAGGUCCUUGUGUAGUUUUUAUUGAGUUUCAUCUUCCUGUUUGA
Molecule: long non-coding RNA, 822 nt
Filed under: Numida meleagris (helmeted guineafowl)
Lineage: Eukaryota; Metazoa; Chordata; Aves; Galliformes; Numididae
Description: lncRNA (ENSNMEG00000000181.1)
Source: RNAcentral